This 640-nucleotide ribosomal RNA is filed under the name Phlegmacium balteatum. RNAcentral describes it as "eukaryotic LSU rRNA". It matches the Rfam family "Eukaryotic large subunit ribosomal RNA", at positions 1 to 625 of the family's 3401-position model. Lineage: Eukaryota; Fungi; Basidiomycota; Agaricomycetes; Agaricales; Cortinariaceae. The record is from RNAcentral.
UGACCUCAAAUCAGGUAGGACUACCCGCUGAACUUAAGCAUAUCAAUAAGCGGAGGAAAAGAAACUAACAAGGAUUCCCCUAGUAACUGCGAGUGAAGCGGGAAAAGCUCAAAUUUAAAAUCUGUCAGUCUUUGGCUGUCCGAGUUGUAAUCUAGAGAAGUGUUAUCCGCGCUGGACCGUGUACAAGUCUCCUGGAAUGGAGCGUCAUAGAGGGUGAGAAUCCCGUCUUUGACACGGACUGCCAGGGCUUUGUGAUGCGCUCUCAAAGAGUCGAGUUGUUUGGGAAUGCAGCUCAAAAUGGGUGGUAAAUUCCAUCUAAAGCUAAAUAUUGGCGAGAGACCGAUAGCGAACAAGUACCGUGAGGGAAAGAUGAAAAGAACUUUGGAAAGAGAGUUAAACAGUACGUGAAAUUGCUGAAAGGGAAACGCUUGAAGUCAGUCGCGUUGUCCAGGGAUCAACCUUGCUUUUGCUUGGUGUACUUUCUGGUUGACGGGUCAGCAUCAAUUUUGACUGUUGGAAAAAGGUCGAGGGAAUGUGGCAUCUUUAGAUGUGUUAUAGCCCUUGAUUGCAUACAAUGGUUGGGAUUGAGGAACUCAGCACGCCGCAAGGCCGGGUAUUAACCACGUACGUGCUUAGGAUG